Molecule: long non-coding RNA, 764 nt
Organism: Nicotiana tabacum (common tobacco)
Lineage: Eukaryota; Viridiplantae; Streptophyta; Magnoliopsida; Solanales; Solanaceae
Source: RefSeq, a predicted model, not a curated record
CCCUCCCCUAACCCUCAAAACUCUUCACAGACCCUUCCCUCUCAUCUCUCUCACCCAUGGUCGUCUCUGCCGCCGGAAAUUUCCCCACGACGGCGAACAGUCCCCAAACUUCCCCAAAUUAACACCCUAUACUCCUCUGUUCAUCCUCAAUCCAAAUAUACCUUCAACUUUUCAAAAGAACCACCCAAAAUCCUCGAAUUUUAGAUCUAAAAGGGCCAGAAACCCUAGCUUCCUCCCCUUCUGAUUUUUCGAGUUUCAAAGACCCGUUUUGACUCGAAACUUAUGCUAAUCGAUUAUUUUUGGCAAGAACAGUCGAUUAGUGCAAUUUUCGUAUCAUUUCGGAGAUGUUCAAACACCAUGGUUGGCCAAACAUUUUGUCAGAAAAUUUUCCUUGCUUUGUUUAGUCUUCAAAGUUCGACCACCAGUUGGCUAAAUUUGACGAUUGAGAGGCUUCAGGCAGUAUUGAAAUGCAUCAGUUGAUAAUCUUGCCUUCCUAUGAGCAUUGAGGAGGAAUCUGUAAAUCAAAUAGAGGCAUUUUCAUAUUUUUCUUUAACUAUUAAGUUUGUAUGUGAUAGGGAUAGCCAAUGAGAUGUAUUAACUGAUAUUCUGUCUUUUGCUACCAUCAGUCUAUAAUUUUGCAAAUAUCAUUUUUGUUGUGGUUGAGUUUGCACUUUCCACAACCCUUUGUUAUAUGUUCAUUUUUUUUAAAGGCAGCAGUAUUUACUGAUUUCUAAGAAUGUAUGAAAUUGGACUUUGAACUCUAA